CGACAAGCUGGAUAAGGGCGUAUGGGGAAUGCCUAGGCUCUCAGAGGCGAAGAAGGACGCGAUAAGCUGCGAAAAGCUGCGGGGAUCGGCACAUACGAUGUGAUCCGCAGGUAUCCGAAUGGGGCAACCCACCAUAUUGAAGGUAUGGUACCCCGCAAGGGGGGCAAACCCGGUGAACUGAAACAUCUAAGUAGCCGGAGGAGGAGAAAACAAAAGUGAUUCCGUGAGUAGUGGCGAGCGAAAGCGGAUUAGUCCAAACCGAUGUUGUUUCGGCAAUAUCGGGGUUGUAGGACCGCGACAUUCGAUGUGCGAUGAAUCAGAACCCUUUGGAAAGAGGGACCGUAGAGGGUGAUAGUCCCGUAAGAGCAAAGAACAU
This 376-nucleotide ribosomal RNA is filed under the name Arenibacter palladensis. RNAcentral's name for it is "partial 23S ribosomal RNA". It matches the Rfam family "Bacterial large subunit ribosomal RNA", at positions 1 to 396 of the family's 2925-position model. Lineage: Bacteria; Pseudomonadati; Bacteroidota; Flavobacteriia; Flavobacteriales; Flavobacteriaceae. The record is from RNAcentral.